GGAACCCAAAGUGGAUAAUAGAGUUAAAGUGAGGAUACAAUCUUCCAUAGAAAUGCAGAUCUUCAAGGACCGAUGGACCGAUGCAGCAAAGAAGGAUAGAUGUUGGAUCGACCCGUAUCUGUAAGUAAUUACAAAAGUCAACCAAUGUUUAUUGUGAUAGUUGGAAUAAAGCUGGAAGUGAAGGUGUUCCAGUCUCCAGUAACAGAGCUCAAAC
This 214-nucleotide unclassified non-coding RNA is filed under the name Hevea brasiliensis (rubber tree). The record is from RNAcentral. Lineage: Eukaryota; Viridiplantae; Streptophyta; Magnoliopsida; Malpighiales; Euphorbiaceae.